GCGGCUGUAGUUUAGCGGUAAAAUAUGACCCUUCCAAGGUCGAGUCGGGGUUUCGACUACCCCCAGCCGCACCA
Molecule: transfer RNA, 74 nt
Filed under: Rickettsiales bacterium
Lineage: Bacteria; Pseudomonadati; Pseudomonadota; Alphaproteobacteria; Rickettsiales
Description: tRNA-Gly
Rfam family: tRNA
About the family: Transfer RNA (tRNA) molecules are approximately 80 nucleotides in length. Their secondary structure includes four short double-helical elements and three loops (D, anti-codon, and T loops). Further hydrogen bonds mediate the characteristic L-shaped molecular structure. tRNAs have two regions of fundamental functional importance: the anti-codon, which is responsible for specific mRNA codon recognition, and the 3' end, to which the tRNAs corresponding amino acid is attached (by aminoacyl-tRNA synthetases). tRNAs cope with the degeneracy of the genetic code in two manners: having more than one tRNA (with a specific anti-codon) for a particular amino acid; and 'wobble' base-pairing, i.e. permitting non-standard base-pairing at the 3rd anti-codon position.
Source: RNAcentral